GUCCUUUUGAUUAUAAUUUAAGGUCUAAUCUGCCCACUGAAAUUUUUAAAUGGCCGCAGUAAUUUGACUGUGCUAAGGUAGCAUAAUCAUUAGUUUUUUAAUUGAAAGCUGGAAUGAAUGAUUGGAUGAAAUAAAAACUGUCUCAAUUUUAUUAGAUUAGAAUUUUAUUUUUAAGUUAAAAAGCUUAAAUGUUAUUAAAAGACGAGAAGACCCUAUAGAGUUUUAUAUAAUAUAAUAAAUUUUUAUUAUUAUUUAAAAAAUUAUAUUUUUUAUAUUAUAUUUUGUUGGGGUGACAAAAAAAUUUAAUAAACUUUUUUUUUAUUAAAACAAAUAUAAUUGAUUAAUUGAUCCAUUUUUAAUGAUUAUAAGAUUAAAUUACCUUAGGGAUAACAGCGUAAUUUUUUUUAAGAGUUCAAAUCGAAAAAAAAGAUUGCGACCUCGAUGUUGGAUUAAAGUUAAUUUUUGGUGUAGAAGCUAAAAUAUUAAGUCUGUUCGACUUUUAAAACUUUACAUGAUCUGAGUUUAAACCGGUGUAAGCCAGGUUGGUUUCUAUCUUUAAUUAAAUUUUAUAUCUUAGUACGAAAGGACCAGAUAUUUAUUUUAUAAAUUUAUUUUUUGAAUAAUAAUAAUUAUUUUGGCAGAUUAGUGCAAUAGAUUUAGAAUCUUUUUAUGUAAUUUAUAUUACAAAUAAUAUUGUUAUUAUUGGAUAAUAUUUUAAUUUUAAUUUCAAUAAUUAUUUUAGUUAUUUUAGUUUUAGUUGGGGUAGCGUUUUUAACUUUAUUAGAGCGAAAAAUUUU
RNAcentral lists this ribosomal RNA (797 nucleotides) under Anthocomus rufus. Its description in RNAcentral is "partial 16S ribosomal RNA". The stretch from base 386 to 544 matches the Rfam family "Bacterial large subunit ribosomal RNA", at positions 2473 to 2632 of the family's 2925-position model. The record is from RNAcentral. Lineage: Eukaryota; Metazoa; Arthropoda; Insecta; Coleoptera; Melyridae.